ACUGGUUCACUCCCCAGAUGACCGCAACUGCCAGAGCUGUGCCCAUCUGAAGCUGGGUGCCAUGAGUCUCCUCCGGGUCUCCCACGUGGGUGCAGGAGCCCAAGGGCUUGGGCCAUCUUCAACUGCUUUCCCAGGCCAUAGCAGAGAGCUGGAUCAGAAGUGGAGCAGUCGGGUCUCAAACCGGCUCCCAGGUGGGGUGCUGGCACUGCAGGCAGCGGCUUUACCCGCUACCCCACAGCUCUGGCCUUGAAUCUUACCUUUUUAAGACUGAAUAUACAGGAAGUGGAGCUAGACUAAUGAAGUGGAGCGGAUUAAUGAAAAGUAGUUAAAGGAGAUAAAAGGUUUUCAGCUGUAUGUAAAACUUACAGAAUUACUCAUAGUUUUAGUUUACAGGUAAAAUGAGGUAGAGGUCUAUUAAUAUUUCUGCUGAUUAUUUUCUUCACCUCGUCAUGAGUUUACAUUUACAAAGUCAUCUAGGCAUUUGGGAAUACAAAAAAAAAAUCACUGUUUUUUAUAAGCGUUGGAGCUCACUUUGAUAUGACAAUAUAUAGCAGUAUAUAACAGUACAACAGUGCCCUGAAUGGAAAAGCAUUCCAGUAAGAAUUCCUCACUUAGCACAUUUCUCAAGGGAGCUCACCAUUCUGCUUUGAGCAUUUGAUUUAGUUUUUUUCUUUUUUUAAGAUUGAUUUAUUUAUUUGAGAAGCAGAGUUCCAGACAGAGGGAGAGAAAGAGAUCUUCCAUCCACUGGUUCACUCCCCAAAUGGCCGCAACAGCCAGAGCUGGGCAGAUCUGAAGCCAAGAGCCAGGAGCUUCUUUCUGGUCUCAUACCACCAACGGCAAAACCUGCCUUGCUUCUGCAGUGAGUGUGCUACAGAAGAUAGGAGAGUCCUGCUGCGGGGAACCGGCGUAUGCAGGUGCCUGCCUAGAGGAAGGUUUCCAGAGAUGUGGUUCUCUGAAGCAAUGCACAUGCACCUGCAGACUUCCUGGAGUGUUUGUGAAACAUGUCUGCUGGGUAGGAGUUGUGCAGCAGGUUAAGCCUCAGCUUGGGACACCCUCAUCCUGUCUGGAGAUUGGCUCUUCCACUUCUGAUCCAGCUUCUUGCUAACAUGCACCAUGGGAGUGGUGGAGGAUGGCCCAAGUACUUGGUUUUUUCUGCCACCAACGUGAUAAACCUGGAUGAAGUUCCUGCCUCCUGGCUUCCACCUGGCCCAACCCUGGCUGAGGUGGGCAUUUGGGAAGUGAACCAAUGGAUGGAAAAAUCGGUCUCUGUCUCACCCUGCCUUUCAGAUACAUAAAUAAAUUUUCAAAAACAGUGGAGAGGCUAUAUGAAGUGUUACUUCCCUAAGGAGUUACCAUUUGCUGUUUUCUAACUAAUAAUUUUUGGGUAUUAUGCAAUAACAGUCCUCUGUUUACCCCAAUUCUGAUUAUUUUAUCAACUGAUCUUUAGCAAAUUACCUUAUACAUUAGUCUCAAACUUAAUGUUUCUUGUAAGAAUUACCAGGGGGUUCAUCUCAAGAAGAUUAAUAAUAAUAAAAAAGACACUUUAACACAGAAUAGAAAAAGGGACAUGUGCUGUCUGUGGCCAGGGCUUGUGUAUCCAUGUGAAAAGUUGCAACUAAAGCACUUCUAAGUUAAUGCUGGAAGACAUGUGGCUUUCAUGAAGUCUUUGUUUGUAAGGCAAGAAUCUGAGUUUUCCUAUAGGGAACCUGUCUUGUCUGUAAAUCAGCUUCUCUACAUUGAAAGCAUUUGCAGAAAUGCCUAUUGGUAGUACUGAGAGGAAAAGCAAAUUAAAUGAGAAAACUGGAAUCCUGACAGGCAAGUCUUUAGUAGUUUGAGCUAAUCUUGAGAGAUAAGAGUAACACUGACGACAUAGGAUUGAAAUACAGUAAUGUCUUCAAGGCUGUAGCAGGAAGGAUGACCAACACAAAACAAGGUACAGUUAACACCCAGGAAGUUAUGCAGAAACUUGGGGUUGUGGUAGGACCUCAGUGACCCCAUGUUUCAGCCUCGGUGCAUAGACACUAAAAGGGAGGUCUCCUUUUUUGUUUGUUUUUAUUUAUUUAUUUGACAGGUAGAGUUAUACACAGAGAGAGAGAGAAAGGUCUUCCUUCCAUUGGUUCAUUCCCCAAAUAGCUGCUACGGCUGGCACUGCACCAGUCCGAAGCCAGGAGCCAGGUGCUUUCUCCUGGUCUCCCAUGCGGGUGCAGGGGCCCAAGCACUCGGGCCAUCCUCCACUGCCUUCCCGGGCCACAGCAGAGAGCUGGACUGGAAGAGGAGCAACCGGGACUAGAACCUGGUGCCCAUAUGGGAUGCCGGCGCCACAGGCAGAGGAUUAACCAAGUGAGCCACAGUGCCAGCCCCUCAAGGAGGUCUCCUUUCUAAGCUAACUUCUGAGUUACCAGAAACCAGGCUCUUAACUGAUUAGACAUCAGGAAGUCAGUGGUAAUUGAGUAGCUCUCUGAACAUUUUUUCUUACUACUUUAUGGAAGCUUUUGAUUCCUUCCUUUGAGAUAAUCUCUGAGGCCUGAGGAGCACUGGAGGAUGAAUUUGAAGAUGAGGGACUUGAACAGGUGUCCUGGCUUACAUUAGAAGAAAAUAAGGGGUCAAGACUGCUGAGAUACAAAUGAGGCAUAGAUUAUUUUGGCUAAGUACGUUAAUCUGGUGCUGAUAAUAGUGAAUUUUUUUUGAAGGUUUGUGUAUGUAUGUGAAAGAGUUACAUAGAGGAGCCAGGAGAGUCUUCUGAGUCUCCCAUGUGAGUGCAGGGGCCCAAGGACACGGGCCAUCUGCUGCUGCUUUCUCAGAAGCAUUAGCGGGGAGCUUGAUUCGAAGUAGGGCAAUGGGGACUCUAACCAGUGCCCAUAUGGGAUGCUGGCACUGAAGGCAGUGGCUUAACAUGCUAUGCCACAAGCCCCAGUAGUAAAGUUUUACCAGUUGUCAAUCCAUGUUGAGACCCAGUGCCUCCCAACCCCCCAAAGUACCACUUUUACCAGGUGACAGCACAAACCUCUCUUUGUGCCUGUUUUUUUACAGUAGUGUCACUACUCCAGUGGUGCAGGCUUCACACUUCCUCCUGAACCUUUCCUGCUGUUCACCCACAGAGGCUGACUGUUGCCACGCAUCUGCCUACUGCCCCCCUUUACUUAGGCUGGGACUGGGGUACUCAUGUCCCCUGCCCGAACCACUUCCACAGCCUCUAGCUGGCUUCGGAACCCCUUCCUCUGCCAGCCCAUCUGCUGACAGUCAUCUUCCUGAUAGCUCCCUCCCUGCCCCCAGAUCAGCAUCCAGAAUCAAGAGUAGGUGCCCCUUUACUUGGUAUUCUUGCCCUUGGGGAUCUUGCCCCAGCCCGCUUUUCUGGUUGUCUGUUGCUCUGCUUCCUCACUUACUGGAGGCUCCUGGGAAUAAUGUCGCCACUGCGGUUAGGAAACUUCUCCUUUGUUCUGUUCUUUGUUCAAUUCCUGACAUCUCUUCCAGUCCAAGCUUAUUUUUGCAACUGCCUUACCUGUUCAGAGAACAGUGUCCUUGCCUUCUCUUUGUUCCCACAGUAUCUCCAUAAAUCUUUGUGGACAAGGAGGAAUCCUGCCAGUGGUAAUUUUUGGCUAGUGUAUCAAAGGUGGAGAGCAAGGCUUAUUCUUUGUGUCAGUGGUCCAACAGGUAGGCAAGUGAACGUGCUUUCUAACAAUGGUAAAAGCCGUUCAUCCAGUGCCUGUUAUGUGCUAGACUUCAAGUGCUGUGCUGCUUAGUUGAUGAAACCCUCACGACAGUCUCAGGAAGGGCAGGUGGUGUCCAGGUGCGAGAACGAAGGCCUGGAGGAUGUCAGGAGGAUGCUCAGCUAGGUGACAGCAGCAGUGUCAGGAAUGGAACCCAGGCCUGCCUGU
Non-coding RNA from Oryctolagus cuniculus (rabbit), 3875 nucleotides. The record is from RefSeq and is a predicted model, not a curated record. Lineage: Eukaryota; Metazoa; Chordata; Mammalia; Lagomorpha; Leporidae.